GAUGAAGAACGCAGCGAAAUGCGAUAAGUAAUGCGAAUUGCAGAAUCCGUGAGUCAUCGAAUCUUUGAACGCAAAUUGCGCCCCUUGGUUAUUCCGAAGGGCAUGCCUGUUCGAGCGUCAUUAUCACCCCUCAAGCCCUGGCUUGGUGUUGGACUUUAGUUAUAGCUUUGCCUAUCAACUGGUCUCAAAGAUAGUGACGGCGCCCCAGAGGGAACCGGGUACGAGGAGCUUUUUACUAAGCAUGUAUCUGGGACGACUCUGGGCGACGGUCUUGUUAUACUUUUUACCUAAGUGUUGACCUCGGAUCAGGUAGGAAUACCCGCUGAACUUAAGCAUAUCAAUAAGCGGAGGA
RNAcentral lists this unclassified non-coding RNA (352 nucleotides) under soil metagenome. RNAcentral's name for it is "partial contains 5.8S ribosomal RNA, internal transcribed spacer 2, and large subunit ribosomal RNA". The stretch from base 1 to 120 matches the Rfam family "5.8S ribosomal RNA", at positions 35 to 154 of the family's 154-position model. The record is from RNAcentral.